Molecule: long non-coding RNA, 217 nt
Filed under: Hordeum vulgare
Lineage: Eukaryota; Viridiplantae; Streptophyta; Magnoliopsida; Poales; Poaceae
Description: long non-coding RNA (HVUL_LNC019785)
Source: RNAcentral
UCUGUAUAGUUUGAGAAAACCCAAAAAGAUUUUCUUUUUCUUCUUUUGUUUGUUGGGAGCUUUCCUGUGUAGAUAAUUUUCUUUUUCUUUGGGUCAAGGUAGAAGAUAUUGGUUACAAUGUUUAAGUGGCUCUCGCAUGCAUACCUGUUUAGCUUUCAAAGAGCCAUAUUACUUUGUCUUCUCCUUUGUGUUUGCCUGCAGAUUCCAGCUUUAGCCA